GGUUGUGUCGCCGCCAUCAUGGGGAGUAGCACAGGCUAGCGGUUGGGCCAUCGCCAUCUGUUCUGCUUCCUAACCUCUCUCCUCGUGCGCACCAGGAGAAGCACCGCUGCAGAAACGGACAAGGAUGUUUAGCUCUUUGGCCCGCCACCAGCCCUCGCUCUUCUCCUACCACUCUCCUCCGCAUUCAAUCUCAAUUUCUCAUCGGCGCUCAAAAGGACAAGCAAGCACGACCGUGAUGUUGAUUUGAACAGGGUACAGGAGCCUGAUUAUUUUGAUCAAAGGUUCCUUAUGGUAUACAAUAUUUAGUGGCAAAGAUUUGAUUGGCCUCACAGGUCAGUGAGUUCCGUUUGUUAUUUAACCUAUGUAUCAUGGCAAGCACAACUUUAGAUAUUGUAAAAUUUUCAAGUUCAAUGUAUGUCUUUAGAACUGAAGCAGCGGCGACAGGGCAUGUACAGGGAGCAGCGGCAGCAGAAAAAAUUGACAUGCUGGUGCACUGGAACCAUAAGGAACCUACAAAAAAUGGUCAAGCACAGUGCAUUGAAACCUCUUCAAUUUCCGUUCGGUUAGCACUUUUCCCGUUCACAAUAGGUCGUUUCCACUGUCCUUUUCUACUGCAUCUUGAAUGUGAAAAUUAGUAGAAUCAUCAUAGUUAUA
Molecule: long non-coding RNA, 654 nt
Organism: Lolium rigidum
Lineage: Eukaryota; Viridiplantae; Streptophyta; Magnoliopsida; Poales; Poaceae
Exons: 3
Source: RefSeq, a predicted model, not a curated record